GGUUCUGUAGUGUAGCUGGUUAUCACAGCGGAUUCUGAUCUUCAAAAAAUUGGAUAUUUCCGCUAACCCCGGUUCGAAUCCGGGCAGGACCU
Myxozyma melibiosi is the source of this 92-nucleotide non-coding RNA. The record is from the annotation of a RefSeq genome assembly. Lineage: Eukaryota; Fungi; Ascomycota; Lipomycetes; Lipomycetales; Lipomycetaceae.